Molecule: non-coding RNA, 213 nt
Filed under: Lunatimonas lonarensis
Lineage: Bacteria; Pseudomonadati; Bacteroidota; Cytophagia; Cytophagales; Cyclobacteriaceae
Source: RNAcentral
AUGUUUGCGAUGAAAUUUGGUUUCUGAGCUCUAGCCAGGGCAAGGAAUUAAAAGGGAAUCCGGUAAAAGCCGGAGCUGUCCCCGCAACUGUAACCCCUAUCGGUAAAGGCCGAUAAGUGAUCUGUGCCACAACGCCAUUGCGUCCAUUUUGGGAUGUGAGAAGGCCCACAGAUCCAGGGAAGCCAGGAGACCUGCCAUAUUUCGACUAUUCAA